Non-coding RNA from Salvia hispanica, 391 nucleotides. Lineage: Eukaryota; Viridiplantae; Streptophyta; Magnoliopsida; Lamiales; Lamiaceae. The record is from RefSeq and is a predicted model, not a curated record.
UUUUCCACCCUACUUACUCCUCGUUGCUAGUCAUCGGUUGCUAUCAGUCUCUAGAGCUGUGGAACAUGACGGAGAACAAGACGAUGACCCUCUCCGCGCACGACGGGCUGAUAGCGUCGCUGGCUGUGUCCACGGUGGCGGGCGUUGUUGCAUCCGCCAGCCACGACAAGAUCGUAAAGCUGUGGAAAUGAAGGUGUCUCAGAAUUACGUAGCUGUUUAACCGCAAUCGAAUUUUUGUCAGAUUUUGUAAUUUUAUUUUCUUGAUAGGUUUUUAUGGUGAAACAGAGUUGGUAGGUUUAGAAACUAACUGUUAAUCUGUUAUGUUGCUUCUGCUACUCAGUAACCUGACUCAAUUCAAUUACUACUUGAGAGUGCAUCAAAUUUAUCUUAA